Molecule: long non-coding RNA, 673 nt
Organism: Anguilla anguilla (European eel)
Lineage: Eukaryota; Metazoa; Chordata; Actinopteri; Anguilliformes; Anguillidae
Exons: 4
Source: RefSeq, a predicted model, not a curated record
GGCUGCUUGACGGGACCCGCUGAUACCGCCUCAUAUGUGCGGGUGACAGGAGCACGGCCUGCAGGGUGCAUGGAAAAGAAGGGGCCCGACAUGCGAGGGGAAGUGCUUUUCAGCUCUGCAGGUGUAAUGAAGCUGAAGAAUCGACUGUGUGGAAGAGGGGCAGUGAGACGGAAGACAGACCCUUGGAGGACUGCUAAAAGCCUGCCUUCGCUCUCUCCUCCACCCCCUCACCUCUCCCAAGCACAGGAGGACAACGCUGAGGGAUCACAGUCAGUUUUUCUAUAAACAAAAUGGGUUGACUUCAGAAUCAGUGCUAUUCCUGGUCAGCAACCUUCCAUUUUCCAUGAGGUCAGAAGGAGUGAAACUAACUAUGCAAAGGGAUUGCCUUCGUCCUUGAUAUAUCAUAGCAGAGAGGCCUUCCAUUAUAGUGAAGACAGGAUGGUUUACACUGGCAGGAAAAGCGGUGAUAAUAUUUUACAACAAAAUGCUUGUGUCCAAACUGUAUUUGCUGCUCUGCUUCAUGGUGGAAUUUUGGAAUGUUUUCUACUUCAGUAGUCAUGCUGGCUGCUAUGGUUUGCAUUUGCAUCGUUUCCACAAAAAUCCUGCAGUAUUAAUUUGCAGUUUGUCACCCAAAGCUGUGUUCUGGCAGUAAUCAAAAGGUUCCCGUAAGAUG